UUUAGUUCGUUUUUAUUUUUUAUACGCACAUAAUGCAGUGUCUGUGUAGACAAUCUGUAUUUGGUUCUGCUUACAAAAUACACGGAUAAAAUAAUAUUUCACUGCAUUAUGUGCGUAUAAAAAAUAAAAACGAACUAAA
Cinara cedri is the source of this 139-nucleotide non-coding RNA. Lineage: Eukaryota; Metazoa; Arthropoda; Insecta; Hemiptera; Aphididae. The record is from the annotation of a GenBank genome assembly.